GUGAAUCAUCGAAUCUUUGAACGCACAUUGCGCCCAUUAGUAUUCUAGUGGGCAUGCCUGUUCGAGCGUCAUUAAGUCCACUUAAGCCCUGCUUAGUGUUGGGAGACUGCUCCAGCGGUGCUACCCUGUAGCUACCCUGCAGCUCCUCAAAGACAGCGGCGGAGUUGUGGUAUCCUCUGAGCUUAGUAACUUGUUCUAGCUUUCGAGUACACCACUUCCCCUGCCGUAAAACCCUUAAUUUUUAAUGGUUGACCUCGGAUCAGGUAGGAAUACCCGCUGAACUUAAGCAUAUCAAUAAGCGGAGGA
This 306-nucleotide unclassified non-coding RNA is filed under the name Sordariomycetes sp. Its description in RNAcentral is "partial contains 5.8S ribosomal RNA, internal transcribed spacer 2, and large subunit ribosomal RNA". The stretch from base 1 to 71 matches the Rfam family "5.8S ribosomal RNA", at positions 84 to 154 of the family's 154-position model. Lineage: Eukaryota; Fungi; Ascomycota; Sordariomycetes. The record is from RNAcentral.